Vespula vulgaris is the source of this 2216-nucleotide long non-coding RNA. RefSeq lists it as uncharacterized. The transcript is spliced from 2 exons. NCBI's taxonomy places the organism in Eukaryota, Metazoa, Arthropoda, Insecta, Hymenoptera, Vespidae. The record is from RefSeq and is a predicted model, not a curated record.
GUGACGUAUCUUUAACGUUAGUUGAAAAAUUCGUCGAAAUUAAAUAGAUUGUAUCGGAGUCUAACGAAAGUAUGGCUUUCGAAUAUUACGAGUUUAAGAAUCAAGUAACACAAGAGAGCCUUCGUUAUUUUGACGUGACCGUUGCCACGAUCCCUUUGGGAAGCAAGCAAUAAAGUGACCACGACGUGGACGUAUAAAAGUAAAGUUAGAUGCUAGUUACAUUACGUUCGAACUCUGUUGCCCGUUCAGAGGGCUUCGACUUUCUCCCCUCGGUCCAAGAAAAUUAAGAGUAAACUUACUCGUAAGCUGACGGUGAAAUGGACGUUAUUAUGGUUUACAAAAAAUCACGAUCAGACAGUAAAAGAUCAGGAAAUAAUGUAUUCUACGAAAUAGAAGGAAGUUCUUCAAUUUAAGGGUUGUUUAUUUUCUUAAAGAAAACUUAAAUUUCGAAGAAUUUUUCAGUUGUUAUCAAGAAAUUCAUAUUUAUGAAGGAAACACGUUGAAAACAAAAAAAUAUAUAUAUAUGCGAAGAGAAGGGGAAAGGUAAUUUGUAUAAUCCAAAGUAUCGUAACGCCUUCCUCUUUCUUUUCUUUUCUUCCUUUAUUGCUUUCUACGAGAAAAGAAUCGCUUCGCGAAGAAUCCUGUCGGGGUUAAGAUCGAUCCUAAUGCUUCUUUAAUUCGUUAUUUCACGAGUUGGAAAGUCAGAGACGAGAUCGUUCGACGAUAGGUCGAUCGGAAGUUGGUUUGAACGCGUUAAAGUCCGGCUUGCUCUUGCGGCACGCUUUUCGUUGGGUAAAUUGCCUUCUUGUCGCUAAGCCACCGAGCAGACAAGAGUUCCAUUCUGCGCUUGAUAGGUGUAAUUACAAAAGUUUUAGCCGCUAUAAACGCGCAGCUUCCAACGGAUCUAAUGACGUUUCUAUUACGGCUUUAGUAAUGAUUUACUAAGCAAUAAAAAAGAUUCCACACAAUUACCUUGGACCCCCGAGUAUGUGAGACGAAGCGUCACGUUGCCAAUAAAUAUCUAAACUUUUCACGUCACGUUUUAAACUUCACUUCGAUGCUUCUCUUGCGUCACCACGACGUGGCACGUACCUAAGUAUCGCGUCGUUAAUUCUGUUUUCCUCGAUGAAAAUCAAUCUCUUGCGCUUUUCACCUACGUCAUCUUGUGUAAGCCGUCGGGUCGCAUCGUAAGACAAAGAAGAAAUUCCACGCACGAGACGUGAGCAGAAAAUUUAGGGCGUUUCACCCUCGAAGACCUUUUCGUUCUAGUUUCGAGAACCUUCGUGUGGAAUUAUCCUCUUCUUCCGAAGAUGCACUCUCGAGAUGGAGCACGAGGAGAGGCAGGAAAGUUAAAUAGAAAAAAGAAAGAGGCAGCACUUUCGUUGACCUAAGAAGAACAAGAAGUAAAAGUAGAAGAAGAAGAAGAAGAAGAAGAGGAAGAAGAAGAAGAAGAAGAAGAAAAAGAAGUAGAACAAGAAGAACAAGAAGCAGAAGAAGCAGAAGAAGGGGGGAUCGGACGAGCGGCCUGAUGGAAGGAUCCGAUGGAAAGAAACAGAUGGAAGUUGGAGCUCGAUGCAGCUUCUUACCUGAUUGCAUUUCGUCCCAUCGGCUGUUUCUCGCGAUUUUCUCGGCGACUUUCCUGCGAUCGUUUUCUUGCGAGUAAAAAAAAAAGAAAAGAAAAGAAAAAAUAAGAAAGAAAAAUAAGAAGAAAGAAAGUCGGAAAAAGAAAAAGAAUGAAAAGGAUAAGAGAAGGAAGAAGGAAAAAGUAGAGAGGAGGAGUAUAAGAGACGGAAGAAACGUUCGUUCAUAUAAAGGAUACUUGGUCAUAGCGAAAAUCGUCGGGCAGUUUGUCGCCUCGUAGAAGACUAGGUUCUACUCGUCAGUUAGCAGGACUCUCGGGAGUCGAGAAUAUCGCACAAAAAAUACACAUUCAACCGUGCAAUAUUUUACGAGGCGAUCACAUACUUUUUACAUAAAUCGACGUUGCAGAAAUCUUUAAAGAAGCUUUUUCUAUCAAGUAAAAAAAAAAAAAAAAGAAAAUUAUCGGAUUCGCUAGUCACCUUUUACUUCCGUCAAGACUGGUAACGCCCGAGAGCUUUUAAACCUUCCUUCACUAGACGGAGAGAAAACGCUUUUAUCGAUGUGAAUAAGAGAAAGAAGGAAGAAAACACAAAGAGAAGGAAGAUGAGAGAAAGAGAAAGAGAAAGAGAAAAAGA